CUGAGCGAUGACGUAUGCGCGUCUACCUGUGACGUUUGUCACCUGCACCUGCGCAGCUGGAGGCAAAAGAUCUGCUCUGCUCCAGCAUGGCACGCAGCGACUACGAGGCCGUCCGUCUCAGAGCUUCUUCCUCUUUGCCUCAUUGACAUGCACGACCACAACUUUGUAGUGUGAGAAAAUGAGACGCACCGUGAGACGGGCGCAAGCUUCUUCCUUCUGCUCUCUGCGGUCGACGUUUCCUGCUCCUUUUUAUUAAGCCCAAGAAAACUUUUGAAAAGACAA
Molecule: long non-coding RNA, 282 nt
Organism: Syngnathus acus (greater pipefish)
Lineage: Eukaryota; Metazoa; Chordata; Actinopteri; Syngnathiformes; Syngnathidae
Exons: 2
Source: RefSeq, a predicted model, not a curated record